GACGAACGCUGGCGGUGUGCUUAACACAUGCAAGUCGAACGGUAAGGCCCUUUCGGGGGUACACGAGUGGCGAACGGGUGCGUAACACGUGAGUAACCUGCCCUCAUCUCUGGGAUAACAGUCGGAAACGGUUGCUAAUACUGGAGAUGAGCUUGCAAGGCAUCUUGUGGGUUGGAAAGAUUUUUUUUGGUUGGGGAUGGACUCGCGGCCUAUCAGCUUGUUGGUGAGGUAGUGGCUCACCAAGGCUUCGACGGGUAGCCGGCCUGAGAGGGCGACCGGCCACAUUGGGACUGAGAUACGGCCCAAACUCCUACGGGAGGCAGCAGUGGGGAAUAUUGCACAAUGGACGGAAGUCUGAUGCAGCAACGCCGCGUGCGGGAUGACGGCCUUCGGGUUGUAAACCGCUUUCAAUUGUGACGAAGCUUUUUUGUGACGGUAGCAGUAGAAGAAGCACCGGCUAACUACGUG
Molecule: ribosomal RNA, 468 nt
Filed under: uncultured bacterium
Lineage: Bacteria
Description: partial 16S ribosomal RNA
Rfam family: Bacterial small subunit ribosomal RNA
Source: RNAcentral